AGAUACACUCGUAAAAAAAUUUGUAUUAGUAUUGCGGCAGCCUCUCAUUCGCUUGGUGCAGGUCGGGACCUUCCUCGCCGGAGACAAUGACGUCAGCUAACGGCGAUGGUGACGUAGGCAUACCGGUAAAUACUUUUUUUUGGUGUUGUCUACGACGAAGUUUCGGUCCCGCCUUGCAUCAACUGAAUAAGAGACUGCGGUGAAUUUUUUUUACUGUGGUGAAUAUUGUUUUCGAUUAAACCAGCUUUGUUGUGGAUCGAUCUAAUGAGGAUCUAAGAGGAUUUGGUAAUUUUGAAAGCUAUUAGUGAAAUAGAUAAGUUUGAUUUUAUUGAUAACUGUUUAAUUAUGUAUGAUGUGUGAUCCUGCAAUAUAGAUUUAGUAGAAGCCUUUCGAGAUUUUAUUCCGUUGUUUUUUUUGCUAUUAAGUGAAAUGGAGAAGUAUGAUUUUAUUGAUAACUGUUUAAUUAUGUAUGAUUUAGGUAAUCUGUGAUUAAGAAACCUGCAAGAUAGCUUUAUUAGAAGACUUUCUACAUUUUAUGCCGUUGUUUUUUGCUAUUAGUGAAAUAGAGAAGUUUGAUUUAUUGAUAGCCGUUUAGUUUUGUAUGAUUUAGGUCAUUUGUAAUUGAGAGACCUGGAAGAUAAUUUUAUUAGAAGACUUUCUACAUUUUACUCGGUUUUUAGGUAUAUUUGAUAUAGUAACGAAAAGAUUUGGUUUUUGAUUAAUGCUAGUACAUCCGAAACUUGUUUAAACAUUUGUUACACUGUACUAGAUGAACAAAAGAGGCGUUAAGUGCCGUUGUUUUUUGUGAUAGGAUUUGAAUAGCACCGAAUUCGUUGAAAAGGAAGAGUUUUCUCCAUCUUUAUCCUUCGUUCGAUACUAGUGUAUAUUUUGAUGUUUGUGGAAUUGUUGCACUUCAGUGUUAUAUGAGGACUGACGGUGUAUUGAUAAGACCGAAGCCAAAAAAAAAAUGACAAUGAAAUCAUUUUCCAAUCUUCAGUUACCUGAAUUUUUUUUUCCAAGGAAAGCAUUUCUUAACGAAAGAAGAAAAAUGACUUCCUUAUAGGAGAAAGUUCAUUUCCAUAAAUGACAACACUUUAUUAAACUUAAUUCAUGUGAUAGGUAAACUAUGUAUUCAAUCUUUAAUACUACUUGUCUUUUGAGAGAAAUCUUUACGUAAUACUAAUUAUCACGUCACCUAUACGGCUAUACCUUCCUCCAUCAUUAAUAAAGUUAUUUACUUUAUCCAAAAAGAUGAUCAUGUCACCUAUACAAACUAACACUGAUGUUCCAUAAAAUGCUUUUUCGAGGUAAUUUUUCUAACGGAAAACAUUUGCUUGCAUACCUAGUGCACCCAGACAUCUAGAAGUUCUAUCUCUUGGUUGUAGGCGGAACAAGGUUAUGUUGCUUUAAAGCUGGAAAAGAAAUUGUGAGAGAGAAGGUAGCUAGCUGUAUAUAAUCUGUGACUUCUAUGGAAUACUGUAAGUGGAUGUUUUGCCUAGGCGUAUGUUGAUAUCAAAUCUUAAUAUAAAGUGGUUAUUUUUUAACCUAAUUAUUUGGAAAUUACUGCAGGCUGGGCUUCAUUUUAAGUUCACUCUAAACAAAGGAAACGAAACAGUAUAACUGCUGCAUGUUUUCUUUUUACGUUGUUUCGAUUCCAUCAGCUUAGCACAUUUUGUCCUCUGACCCAGAAAGAUAAUUCUGCCAGAGUAUCUAUAUUUAAGUUUUAAGUUGCCUUGCUAAUUGUGCGUAUUUCAGUUUGAUCUCUGUAAAAAAAAUUGUAUGCGGUAUACGUAUUAAUGGCUAUACUCUUCCUUCUGUAUCUUGUAGCCACUUGCUUUGGCUAUAUGGGAAAAAGAAAUUGACAAUUCACUUGCUGAAACUGUGUUAGUAUGUAACAUUGUCAUUCUUUGGAUAGAAUCCGUGCAAUUUUCAUCAAACUAAAUAGUUCAGUCUGGGCUUUUACGUCGUAGGUUUUUGAAUUACAGUCCA
This is a long non-coding RNA of Lycium ferocissimum, 1989 nucleotides long. RefSeq lists it as uncharacterized. The record is from RefSeq and is a predicted model, not a curated record. The transcript has 2 exons. Lineage: Eukaryota; Viridiplantae; Streptophyta; Magnoliopsida; Solanales; Solanaceae.